RNAcentral lists this ribosomal RNA (253 nucleotides) under uncultured bacterium. Its description in RNAcentral is "partial 16S ribosomal RNA". It matches the Rfam family "Bacterial small subunit ribosomal RNA", at positions 524 to 776 of the family's 1533-position model. The record is from RNAcentral.
UACGAGGGGUGCAAGCGUUGCUCGGAAUUAUUGGGCGUAAAGGGUAGGUAGGUGGUCUCAUUUGUCUGGGGUGAAAGCCUUGAGCUUAACUCAAGAAGUGCCCCAGAAACGGUGAGACUCGAGUCCUGGAGAGGGUCGUGGAAUUCCCGGUGUAGCGGUGAAAUGCGUAGAGAUCGGGAGGAACACCAGAGGCGAAGGCGGCGACCUGGACAGGUACUGACACUCAAGUACGAAAGCGUGGGGAGCAAACAGG